This 83-nucleotide transfer RNA is filed under the name bacterium (Candidatus Blackallbacteria) CG13_big_fil_rev_8_21_14_2_50_49_14. RNAcentral's name for it is "tRNA-Leu". It matches the Rfam family "tRNA". From Rfam's summary of the family: Transfer RNA (tRNA) molecules are approximately 80 nucleotides in length. RNAcentral also lists the same sequence under 2 other names. The record is from RNAcentral. Lineage: Bacteria; Candidatus Blackallbacteria.
GCUGAGGUGGCGAAAUCGGCAGACGCAGGGGACUUAAAAUCCCCCGGGUUUAUCCCGUGCGGGUUCAAGUCCCGCCCUCAGCA